Molecule: ribosomal RNA, 440 nt
Filed under: uncultured bacterium
Lineage: Bacteria
Description: partial 16S ribosomal RNA
Rfam family: Bacterial small subunit ribosomal RNA
Source: RNAcentral
CCUACGGGUGGCAGCAGUGGGGAAUAUUGCACAAUGGGGGAAACCCUGAUGCAGCGACGCCGCGUGAGUGAAGAAGUAUUUCGGUAUGUAAAGCUCUAUCAGCAGGGAAGAAAAUGACGGUACCUGAUUAAGAAGCCCCGGCUAACUACGUGCCAGCAGCCGCGGUAAUACGUAGGGGGCAAGCGUUAUCCGGAGUUACUGGGUGUAAAGGGAGCGUAGACGGCAGCACAAGUCUGGAGUGAAAGCCCGGGGCCCAACCCCGGGACUGCUCUGGGAACUGUCCGGCUGGAGUGCGGGAGGGGCAGGCGGAAUUCCUGGUGUAGCGGUGAAAUGCGUAGAUAUCAGGAGGAACACCGGCGGCGAAGGCGGCCUGCUGGACCGCGACUGACGUUGAGGCUCGAAAGCGUGGGGAGCGAACAGGAUUAGAUACCCUAGUAGUC